This 1031-nucleotide ribosomal RNA is filed under the name uncultured bacterium. RNAcentral's name for it is "bacterial SSU rRNA". It matches the Rfam family "Bacterial small subunit ribosomal RNA", at positions 9 to 873 of the family's 1533-position model. The record is from RNAcentral.
AGAGUUUGAUCAUGGCUCAGGACGAACGCUGGCGGCGUGCCUAACACAUGCAAGUCGAGCGGAGUAGAGUUCAACACUGAGUAUUCGAGCGUUGGCAAAAGUUAAGCCAGCGUCAUGCACAAACUACCUUGUUGAUAGACAUAUUUAAAAGAAAGUUUUGUGCAUCACGCUAAAUUAAGUGCCUAACAUAAUGCUAUGACUAAAACAAGUCAAAAUAGUAUUGAUAAGAAACGCCACACUUGAGUGCUGAGUGUUGGACUCUACUUAGCGGCGGACGGGUGAGUAACGCGUGGGCAACCUGCCUUGCACAGGGGGAUAACACAGGGAAACUUGUGCUAAUACCGCAUAACAUCACGGGGAGGCAUCUUCCUGUGAUCAAAGGAGAAAUCCGGUGCAAGAUGGGCCCGCGUCCGAUUAGCUAGUUGGCGGUGUAACGGACCACCAAGGCAACGAUCGGUAGCCGAACUGAGAGGUUGAUCGGCCACAUUGGGACUGAGACACGGCCCAGACUCCUACGGGAGGCAGCAGUGGGGAAUAUUGCGCAAUGGAGGAAACUCUGACGCAGCAACGCCGCGUGAAGGAUGAAGGUCUUCGGAUUGUAAACUUCUUUGAUGAGGGACGAAGGAAGUGACGGUACCUCAAAAACAAGCCACGGCUAACUACGUGCCAGCAGCCGCGGUAAUACGUAGGUGGCGAGCGUUGUCCGGAAUUACUGGGUGUAAAGGGCGCGUAGGCGGGGAUGUAAGUCAGAUGUGAAAUACCAUGGCUCAACCGUGGGGCUGCAUCUGAAACUAUGUUUCUUGAGUGCUGGAGAGGAAAGCGGAAUUCCUAGUGUAGCGGUGAAAUGCGUAGAUAUUAGNAGGAACACCAGUGGCGAAGGCGGCUUUCUGGACAGUAACUGACGCUGAGGCGCGAAAGCGUGGGGAGCGAACAGGAUUAGAUACCCUGNAGUCCACGNCGUAAACGAUGGNUACUAGNGUAGNAGGNAUCGACCCCUUCUGUGCCGGAGUAAACACAAUANNAUCCCACCU